AUGCAUGCAUGCAUGCAACGUACGUACUGCAUGCACCGUGAUCUAUGUCACGGUCACGGGUGGAUGCAGCCAUCGCCGAGUCCACCGGCACCACCUCCGAGUCCUCCACCGCCGAGCCCGCCGCCUCCACCGCCGAGCCCACCAAGGCCGCCUCCUCCACCGCCGACGCCACCAAGGCCGCCUCCUCCACCGCCGAGUCCACCAAGUCCGCCCGAGCCACCGCCAAGGCCACCAAGUCCACCGGAGCCGCCGCCCAGACCGCCGAGGCCACCUGCACCACCACCGCCGAGGCCACCGAGCCCGCCCGCGCCGCCAAGUCCUCCAACGCCACCGCCGGCCCCGCCUAGCCCACCGACGCCUCCCACGCCAGCGAGGCCACCUACGCCCCCGAUCCCUCCCACGCCGCCACCAACUCCUCCGAGGACGCCGCUGAUGCCACCCAUCGCUCCGCCCAGGCCUCCCACCCCGUCGGCGCCAGCGAAUCCCCCGACACCACCGCCGUACCCUCCGCCCAGGCCGCUGCCCAGGAAGGUCUUCUGGUCGCCGAGGCCGGCCGGUGCGGCCGCAGCCACGCCGACGCUCUUAGCACUCGUGGUCGUCAUUGCUGUUGUCGUCGUCGUCUUGGCGGUGGCGGUGGCCGGCGCGGCCACCACCGCAGCGACGCUCUUAGUAGUCGUGGUCGUUGCAGUUGUCUUUGCGGUCUUGGCGGUGGCGGUGGCAGGGAUGUCUCUCGCGUCAGCCGGUGCUAGCGGCGCCACCACAAGGAGGAGGGCGACGAGCAGGAAGCGGCACGCCAUUGCGGCAGUAACGGUGCUCCACCUCGCCAUCGGUCGAGCUAGCUAUCUUCCCAGCUAA
This 855-nucleotide ribosomal RNA is filed under the name Triticum aestivum (bread wheat). Its description in RNAcentral is "partial small subunit ribosomal RNA". Lineage: Eukaryota; Viridiplantae; Streptophyta; Magnoliopsida; Poales; Poaceae. The record is from RNAcentral.